AAAAAUUUAGUUAAAAAAUAACGUUAGCUUGUCAAGCUAAAAUUAUUAAACAUUUAAUAAUUUUUA
RNAcentral lists this transfer RNA (66 nucleotides) under Chrysomeloidea sp. 7 KM-2017. Its description in RNAcentral is "tRNA-Asp". Lineage: Eukaryota; Metazoa; Arthropoda; Insecta; Coleoptera. The record is from RNAcentral.